CUCUCAUGGGCAAGAGUGUUUACCCAGUGGCCUCAGGUGGCACAUGUGUGCUCAUUGCUGUGUGACUGUUUUUCCCAGGCAUCA
Molecule: microRNA precursor, 84 nt
Filed under: Jaculus jaculus (lesser Egyptian jerboa)
Lineage: Eukaryota; Metazoa; Chordata; Mammalia; Rodentia; Dipodidae
Description: miRNA (ENSJJAG00000003361.1)
Source: RNAcentral